GGAGAGAUGUCCGAGCGGUUGAAGGAGCACGCCUGGAAAGCGUGUAUACGGUUUAUAACCGUAUCGAGGGUUCGAAUCCCUCUCUCUCCGCCA
This 93-nucleotide transfer RNA is filed under the name Solimonas sp. RNAcentral describes it as "tRNA-Ser". It matches the Rfam family "tRNA". Rfam says of the family: Transfer RNA (tRNA) molecules are approximately 80 nucleotides in length. Lineage: Bacteria; Pseudomonadati; Pseudomonadota; Gammaproteobacteria; Nevskiales; Nevskiaceae. RNAcentral also lists the same sequence under 1 other name. The record is from RNAcentral.